This is a long non-coding RNA of Panonychus citri (citrus red mite), 1124 nucleotides long. RefSeq lists it as uncharacterized. The record is from RefSeq and is a predicted model, not a curated record. The transcript has 3 exons. NCBI's taxonomy places the organism in Eukaryota, Metazoa, Arthropoda, Arachnida, Trombidiformes, Tetranychidae.
AUUUUCUAUGAGAAGAAAAAUUAACAAUUAAAUUGUUUACUUUAGAUUAAAGGUGUUGAUUUGAUUGUUUGGAAUAAAUUGUUGAUUGAAAUCUAUGGUUUUCCAAUGAGAGUUUGUAUUAGUUGACAAGUUAUUGAUUGGUUUUCUUUUAUGGCUUUUCAAGGCUUGUUAAUGGGUUUAAUCUACUGACAACUUUAUCGGUGUUUAAUUAUGUAAGGUUGACUUUGAAUGUCAUUUGCUAUUGGAUUGUGACUUGGACUGAGAUUUCAAUCAUUUGGUGGAACAAGCGAAAUGGACAAAAUCAAAUGAAUCAAAAUGGUGAUUAAUUGUAAUCUUGUUGAUCAAAUUUAAGGUGCAAUUAGCGAAAUAAGAUGAGAGUUUGAUGAGAAUCAGUGACGCGUUUCUAUGCAAAAGGAAAAACAAUAAACCAAUUGAAGUGGUGGAAAUGUGAACAAGAAACAACAAUCCAAAUAGAUUGAAAGGUAAAUCAAGAUGACAUCGAAAGACAAUUAACCGAUUGUUACCGUUAUGAAGAUUUAAUUGUAAAGAAAGAAAAACAAAGGAAAAGGAACCAGUAAUUACCUAGUAAGAUGGUGAUCAAGAUAAAGUGUCAAUCAAAUGGUUUCCACCCUUUAAUCAGUUACUGAAUGGAUGGUAAUUACGAUUGUAUAAGAAUCUUUGAAAAAAGUACCGAUGGCCCUUAAAAUUGUCGAUUCAUUUACAAGUUCGAUAAUUUUUCUUUCUAUUAAUUGGAUGGUUCUGAUUUUCUUCCUAAAAAGUUAUCGAUCAAGUUGUCAAUCAUGAGAAGCCAAUUCUAAAAAAUUUUCAACAAUAUACCGUCGAACCAGAUGAAUGUCUUCAGUGGAAACAAUUCACUAAUCGCGAUCGAAUCUCAACUGCUCUAAUUAACCCUUUUAGUGAUGUUUUCUCUUUGGCUUCGGGUUCCUCUUCACUCAUCAAUUAGACAUGUAAAAAUCGUGGAUUAAGUUAACAACAUUUAAGGUUCGAGUCUGAAAUGAACCAAUAAAACUGAUGAAUACAAAUGACCAGAAUGGAUUGAAUCCUCAUAAAGUGACCAUUAUCAUCAAGUCCACCAAGAGCGUAAAGUAAUUCAAGGCCAGUGA